CUUUUAAAGAGCCCGCUCCAGCCGAACAUACAACAACAAAUAUUUCACCGCCUCCCGAACAAUUUAGACCUUCGCCACAAAAACCAUCCUAAUCUGAAUCCAGGCCCGAAGCUGUGGCGACACCGAUUAUCAUCGGUUUGGCAAUAAUUCCAUCAUGGAACUGAUGGGUGAAGGAGUGAAAUACCAGACUAAAGGAAGUUGGUAUUUGACCAUCAGUUUGAACUGAUUGAUUAAUAUUGACCAUCUGCAAGCAAACGCUAUCUUCGGGUACCUCCGUCUCAAAUACAAAGAAGCCGAAGAGGAUACCGAAGAGAAUACCGCCCGAAGGGAGAAAGCCAUUCUGAAGUCUGUGUUGGCAAAAGAAAGAAGCAACCUUGACAUUGUUCUUC
This 389-nucleotide long non-coding RNA is filed under the name Panax ginseng (ginseng). RNAcentral describes it as "long non-coding RNA (PGIN_LNC001718)". Lineage: Eukaryota; Viridiplantae; Streptophyta; Magnoliopsida; Apiales; Araliaceae. The record is from RNAcentral.